AGAGCACUCUCCAAGGCGGAGGUCUGCAGCCCAACAGUCGACGCGUCUCCGCGGUGGACCCCCCAGCGAUCAGGUGCGCAUCACACCGUACCUGAUUAUCACGACACUGUUGCUGAUGGGAGUAGGUCUCGUCUUAUACCACCUCUACAGUGACGCCACCGGCUCAAGAUGGCGGUUUGCUUACUAGCGGCGACUCAAAAAAGUACUUUUCAGUAUAGGGACGUCCAGGAUCCGUGCUGGCAGAAAAGGCACGUGUUCCUCGGCCCGAACCGUCACUGUGUGCGGUGCAGGAUGCGGCGUCGUGUUGAUUUGCUGUGCUUCAUCUUUUGUGCGGGAUACAUGCCGUCUGCCACCAAAAGAGUGGUCUG
Pollicipes pollicipes is the source of this 368-nucleotide long non-coding RNA. RefSeq lists it as uncharacterized. The transcript has 3 exons. Lineage: Eukaryota; Metazoa; Arthropoda; Thecostraca; Pollicipedomorpha; Pollicipedidae. The record is from RefSeq and is a predicted model, not a curated record.